AGCAGUCGCCACGGGAAUACGAAGGGGGCUAGCGUUGCUCGGAAUGACUGGGCGUAAAGGGCGCGUAGGCGGAUUGUUUAGUUAGGCGUGAAAUUCCUGGGCUUAACCUGGGAACUGCAUUUGUGACUGGCGAGCUAGAGUAUGGCAGAGGGGGGUAGAAUUCCACGUGUAGCAGUGAAAUGCGUAGAGAUGUGGAGGAAUACCGAUGGCGAAGGCAGCCCCCUGGGCCAAUACUGACGCUCAUGCACGAAAGCGUGGGGAGCAAACAGGAUUAGAUACCCCCGUAGUCCCUGUCUCUUAUAC
This 303-nucleotide ribosomal RNA is filed under the name uncultured bacterium. Its description in RNAcentral is "partial 16S ribosomal RNA". It matches the Rfam family "Bacterial small subunit ribosomal RNA", at positions 507 to 807 of the family's 1533-position model. The record is from RNAcentral.